CCCUUAGAUGUUCUGGGCCGCACGCGCGCUACACUGACGAAGUCAGCGAGCAUGUCCUACGCCGACAGGUGCGGGGAAUCUUGUCAAACUUCGUCGUGAUGGGGAUUGAUUAUUGAAAUUCUUGAUCAUCAACGAGGAAUUCCUAGUAAGCGAAAGUCAGCAGCUUGCGUUGAUUACGUCCCUGCCCUUUGUACACACCGCCCGUCGCUACUACCGAUUGAAUGGUUUAGUGAGAUCUUCGGAUUGGCGCCACUGCGGCUCAGCAAUGGGCUCGGUGGAUGCCGAAAAGUUGAUCAAACUUGAUCAUUUAGAGGAAGUAAAAGUCGUAACA
RNAcentral lists this ribosomal RNA (331 nucleotides) under uncultured eukaryote. RNAcentral's name for it is "partial 18S ribosomal RNA". It matches the Rfam family "Eukaryotic small subunit ribosomal RNA", at positions 1470 to 1796 of the family's 1831-position model. The record is from RNAcentral.